RNAcentral lists this long non-coding RNA (539 nucleotides) under Micromonas commoda. Its description in RNAcentral is "long non-coding RNA (MCOM_LNC000017)". Lineage: Eukaryota; Viridiplantae; Chlorophyta; Mamiellophyceae; Mamiellales; Mamiellaceae. The record is from RNAcentral.
GAUGGCAUCGGAAGCGUUGGGCUGCGACCGCUGCAUCCCGGUGACGCGUCGACGCUACUUGUCCGGUAAACGGAAGGCCUACGAUAUGCCGAUUUACCUAACGAAAGAGCAGAAACGUGAAGUUAUGGAGCUUCUCCGGGAAGACGUUGCCUUCCUUACAAAUCAUGGUCUGAUGGACUACUCGUUGAUAAUGGCUGUCCAUGGGCCUCCCUUAGGAACAUACCAGCUGACGGCAUCGGACUCGGCGAAUAUUCUUCAUUCCAAAUCAUAUGUAUCAUACCAUCGUGGUAGCGUGUCUGUGGUAUACUUCGGAAUAAUCGAUUUCCUGCAGGUAUAAAAUCGUUUUGAACUACAACCACUGGUGCUUUUUACUGGCAACUUCGUCCUAUACCGGUGACACAGGCUUGGACGGUCACUAAGCUUUGCGCGCACCACAUAAAAGCAUGCUGUGCUCCUACUCCAAUAUCAACGAUACCACCUCGACUGUAUGGAAGGCAAUUUCUGAACCAUUUUGAGUGGAAGUGGGUGACUUAUUUCAG